RNAcentral lists this long non-coding RNA (1114 nucleotides) under Sarcophilus harrisii (Tasmanian devil). Its description in RNAcentral is "lncRNA (ENSSHAG00000028046.1)". The record is from RNAcentral. Lineage: Eukaryota; Metazoa; Chordata; Mammalia; Dasyuromorphia; Dasyuridae.
AAGGAGGGAGGAAGGAAAGAAGAUAGGAAGGGAAGGAGAGAGGGAGGAAAGGAGAGAGGGAGAAAGGAAGGAAAGAAAGAGAGAGGGAAGAAAAGGAAGAAGGGAGGAAGGAAGGAAAGAGGAAAGCUUAUCAGGUUUCAUUUUUAUAAAUACAGUAAACAAAAUCUAAUAAAGAAUUAUAUGGGAAUAUUUUUUCUCCUAUCAGAGAUGAGCUUAAUUAAAAAAUUAGGACAGGUUUUUUUAAUUGUUUAUUUAAUAUUUUUACCCUGUUACAUUCAAAACAAUUUUUACUUUUUUUUUUUUUUUUUUAAGAUUUUUGAGUUCUAGAUUCUCUCCCUUAUCCCUUAGAUCUCCUUUAUAAUUGUGGGUGGCCACAAUUAAGAAACCACAUGUGAAAUUAUGCAAAAUAUUUCCAUAAAAAUCAAGCUGUGAAAGAAAACAUAGAUCUCCCAUCUUAAUGAAAAUAAAAACUCUCAAGAAAAAUUAAGCUAAAAAUAAAGAGAGUAAUAGAGAAUGCUUCGAUCUGUAUUCAGACUCAAUCAGUUCCUUCUCUGGGUAUGGAGAUUUUUCAUCCUAAGUCCUUCAGAGUAGAUAUAGAUGAUUGUACUACUAAGAAUAAUAAAGUCAUUUACAGCUGGUCAUAGGACAGAUUUUUCAUCAAAUCUCUGAGGGAAUUCUUUUGGGGAAAAAACAAAUGAAAUAUAGGAGUUUUUGCAUCCACUGCAGGCAAAAAAGGAAAGAGGCAGCCAUCUCUCGCAUAGCAUCAAACCUAGCCGGAGCUGAAUUACCUCAUCUGUGGGGGGAGGGGAUUGCACAAAUGAUUUCAGAGGGUCACUCCAGCCCUAAUUCAACAUCCCUGUGAAUUGUCUCUUUAAAGGAAUCAGUCAGCAUGAACAACAUGUCUCUAGACAGUUGUAAAAGAGGUGGAUCGUUUUCUCUGGCAAACAGCUGACCCAUAAUUCUACUGAAUCUUUCCAGCUGGAAGGCACCUCCCAGGUGACCUAGUCCUGCCCCAACUCACUAGAGGAAAGGGCAGGAUGCUACGGUGACAGCAGCACCGAUUUCAUAAUCAGGGCUUUUGGCUUCCUCCUGUCUGGGAGAAAAAUCACUUCAU